This is a long non-coding RNA of Phragmites australis (common reed), 1482 nucleotides long. RefSeq lists it as uncharacterized. Lineage: Eukaryota; Viridiplantae; Streptophyta; Magnoliopsida; Poales; Poaceae. The record is from RefSeq and is a predicted model, not a curated record. The transcript has 4 exons.
CUGUUAAAUUACCAGGUUAUUACUUUGCAUCUGAGUUCUUGAGGGCCCCCUUCCUUACCACUGACUUCUUCUAUAUCUGGGGGAAUAUAGUAGUUCAUGUCAGGAUAGCUUCAGUUUGGUCCAUUCUUGAGUUAAGAUUUGGAACGGACUCUCUGUUACUUCUCUUUUUCCGAAACAGAUGGCAGGAGCUCUGGCCAUUCAUUUCCAAGAGAGAAGCAAAAUUACGCCCGUCCAAGAAGGACACCUGAGAUAAUAUGGCUUAGUGCUUGCUUAGGAAUGCAAAUUUAUGCCCUUUUCAUGACUUACUAAUUAAGCGCAGGGUCAAAAUCAGCACCUGAAUAACUAACUGUUAGCUAGACGAGAGUCUAGCAGCACCUGAAAACAGGCAGCAGCAGGCCCUGGGAAACUCAUCCAUAUCUGAACGAAACCAAGGGUUAGGUUGGUUCACUCUGUAAAUUGGAUUGGAUAUACAAAACCGGUAAACAACGACCUUAUCUUUCGAAGCAUAUAUGACCCCCUGUCUCUGUGUAUGAUCAAAAGUCGAGUACUGAAUCCACCUAUCUGUUUCCCGUGGGUAGUUGACUUUGAUGGCUCAUACACGUGUCGCACUUGAAUAACAGCAUGCCUUGGCCCGCAUGGCGGUUUUCAGGCAUUCAUUAUCUACUUUAUCCAUUUUCAGCACUGCAGGCGUGUACGUACGUUCCUUGAGAGUGAUUGCCACCCACUAUAAUGCAUUGCAUGGUCGUCAGUCUAACAUGCAUGCACGCGUCCGUUAUGAUGAACUGCAUGCAAAUCAAUUCCAAGGGAGCAGGGAAGCGGAUGGAUCGGAUGGCUCAUUUUGCCUGUUUUAAAAGCGAGGAAAAAGUUGAUUACAAAGGGGGUUAAAACUCUCUUUGUGGUACAAGAGCAGCUACUAGAGUAUACUUAUUCAAGAUUGGUCCGGAAGCCAACACCGAACCAUCACCGAGUAACGAACGUCCGGGAGCAGAGUGUCGUCCACCUGGCAGAAGUUGUGUGCGCCUAGCAGGCCGGGCGUCCCGUCCUUGGAUCCAAGCAGGUUCACCCAUCAGUCGGCGGCGGAACUUCACCUUGAACUCGUCCCAAGGCCCACCCGGGCUUAGCUUGUCUGGACCGCUCCCACCGGAACUCCGGCCGAAGCUCGAAAUGGUGGAUAGCUUGACUUCAUCAGUGGCGCGUCCACCGUGGCGUGGUGAUGAGGGCGCCCGGAUUGGAGAAGAAGACGAGGACCGCAGCUAUAGAGAGGGCGCCGGCGGUGCGGGUGCGACUGCAUGGCAGGCGCCUGAAUCGGUUGGUGAUUGCGGGAGCAACAACCAAAUAGCCGUUCCUACAAGUCAGCGGCGGCUGUAGAUGCGCGCGCUCUCUCUCUCCCUAUAUAGGCUAGCGUUAAUCUAUAGUACCCUGGUAUGGAAUAGUUAUUCCAUACUCUAACUCACAAACAAAAUAAGUAUGAUCCUAAAUACU